AUCACUUCUUGGCCUUUCAGCCAAGAUCAAGUGUAGUAGUAUCUGUUCUUACCAGUUUAACAUCUGAUACAUUCUCUAGCAGAGAACAAAAUAUUAGAUGGAUUUUUGGAACUAGGAUAUGGAAUAGGAGGUUGCUCCAUCCAUUCCACAUAUCGACCUGGUAUUUUGGUACUUCUAGGAACAGUGCACUAAAA
Molecule: small nuclear RNA, 194 nt
Filed under: Castor canadensis (American beaver)
Lineage: Eukaryota; Metazoa; Chordata; Mammalia; Rodentia; Castoridae
Description: U2 spliceosomal RNA (ENSCCNG00000018119.1)
Rfam family: U2 spliceosomal RNA
About the family: U2 is a small nuclear RNA (snRNA) component of the spliceosome (involved in pre-mRNA splicing). Complementary binding between U2 snRNA (in an area lying towards the 5' end but 3' to hairpin I) and the branchpoint sequence (BPS) of the intron results the bulging out of an unpaired adenosine, on the BPS, which initiates a nucleophilic attack at the intronic 5' splice site, thus starting the first of two transesterification reactions that mediate splicing.
Source: Rfam by way of RNAcentral